This 468-nucleotide ribosomal RNA is filed under the name uncultured bacterium. Its description in RNAcentral is "partial 16S ribosomal RNA". It matches the Rfam family "Bacterial small subunit ribosomal RNA", at positions 28 to 507 of the family's 1533-position model. The record is from RNAcentral.
GACGAACGCUGGCGGCGUGCUUAACACAUGCAAGUCGAACGGAAAGGCCCUGCUUUUGUGGGGUGCUCGAGUGGCGAACGGGUGAGUAACACGUGAGUAACCUGCCCUUGACUUUGGGAUAACUUCAGGAAACUGGGGCUAAUACCGGAUAGGAGCUCCUGCUGCAUGGUGGGGGUUGGAAAGUUUCGGCGGUUGGGGAUGGACUCGCGGCUUAUCAGCUUGUUGGUGGGGUAGUGGCUUACCAAGGAUUUGACGGGUAGCCGGCCUGAGAGGGUGACCGGCCACAUUGGGACUGAGGUACGGCCCAGACUCCUACGGGAGGCAGCAGUGGGGAAUAUUGCACAAUGGGCGGAAGCCUGAUGCAGCAACGCCGCGUGCGGGAUGACGGCCUUCGGGUUGUAAACCGCUUUCGCCUGUGACGAAGCGUGAGUGACGGUAAUGGGUAAAGAAGCACCGGCUAACUACGUG